Physeter macrocephalus (sperm whale) is the source of this 625-nucleotide long non-coding RNA. RefSeq lists it as uncharacterized. NCBI's taxonomy places the organism in Eukaryota, Metazoa, Chordata, Mammalia, Artiodactyla, Physeteridae. The transcript is spliced from 5 exons. The record is from RefSeq and is a predicted model, not a curated record.
GCGAAGACUGCCACCAUGUCUUGCCCACUGUCUGCUGCACUUGGUGGGGUGUUGCUCCGGGACCUUGCUUCAGACGUGACUGUGAAGGCUAUGAUUUCACACCAGCGUGAAGGGCAGCUGCCCCCAACACCCUGCCCAGGAGUUCCUGCUCCAGGACUCGGCAUCUGCAGCAGCGGGCAGGGAAAUUAAUGCAUCAUGAUGUUGAAACCCACAUUCCAAAGGCUGAACUAAAAUCGACUUCCUAAAGAGAAACACAAGUGAAGAUGGACUGGAGGAGGACAGCAGUGGAGGUAGGAGUCGGACAUGAGAACACAAGAGGCUUUCCUGAGAAGAGGCUGCUGGACCAGGGUCCUGGCUUAAGCUGGAAGGCAAGCUUUGACAGUAAGAAAAGGGAAGGACAAAGUGAACCAGACACUUCACUGAGUUGGCUGAUGAGUGACAACCGAAUAUCAGGUCUCACUUUCUAAAAUUGAAAUGCAAUUGACAUAAAACAUUGUGUAAGUUUAAGGUGUACAAUGUGUUGAUUUGAUACAUUUAUAUUGCAAUACAAUUGCCAUUGUAGCAUUAGCUGACUGUUUGUCACGUCACAUAAGUACCAUUUUUCAAAGUGAUGGGAACAAUUAAA